Molecule: transfer RNA, 74 nt
Filed under: Salix viminalis (osier)
Lineage: Eukaryota; Viridiplantae; Streptophyta; Magnoliopsida; Malpighiales; Salicaceae
Rfam family: tRNA
About the family: Transfer RNA (tRNA) molecules are approximately 80 nucleotides in length. Their secondary structure includes four short double-helical elements and three loops (D, anti-codon, and T loops).
Source: RNAcentral
AGGGUGGUGGCGCAGUUGGCUAGCGCGUAGGUCUCAUAAUCCUGAGGUCGAGAGUUCGAGCCUCUCUCACCCCA